Dermochelys coriacea (leatherback sea turtle) is the source of this 7032-nucleotide RNA transcript. It is a transcript of the gene named pericentriolar material 1, with no coding region annotated. The record is from RefSeq and is a predicted model, not a curated record. The transcript has 41 exons. NCBI's taxonomy places the organism in Eukaryota, Metazoa, Chordata, Testudines, Dermochelyidae.
CGUACAGGGGGAGAACCAAAAUGGCGGCGAAGGUGGCCGUUGAGGCUUGCGUGUGAGGGUCCCUGCCCCCCCCCCCCCCAACCCCGCAACCAACAGGGCCCGCUCGGUGCCGCAGGCCGCGAGGCCCAAGGCAGCAGUGCUGCUGCCAAGCAUUUUUGACUGCAUACCAUGGCAACAGGAGGUGGUCCUUUUGAGGAAGGCAUGAAUGAUCAGGACUUGCCUAGCUGGAGCAAUGAAAGCUUUGAUGACCGGCUGAACAAUACGGACUGGGGGGGUCAACAGAAGAAAGCAAACAGGUCUUCAGAGAAAAACAAGAAAAAAUUUGGUGGGGAAGGUGAAACAAGGCUUACUAAUGACAUAUCUCCAGAGUCCUCACCCGGAAUGGGACGGCGGAAGACAAGGACUCUUCAUAGUCUUCCUCACACUAGAUAUAUGACUCAGAUGUCUGUUCCAGAGCAAGCAGAAUUAGAAAGGCUUAAACAAAGAAUAAACUUCAGUGAUCUGGAUCAGAGGAGCAUUGGAAGUGAUUCUCAAGGCAGAGCAACAGCUGCUAACAACAAACGUCAGCUUAAUGAAACCAGAAAACCAUUCAACUCCCUAUCACUGCAGAUUAACACUAACAAGGAUGCUGCCACAAGCCCUCAAAAAAAAGAAACUGGUGGAUCAUCACAAUGUAAAGAGUUAUUUGCAUCUGCUCUAAGUAAGGACUUCUUGCAAAAUUAUCAGGUGUCUGUUCAAGAAGAUGGAAGAGGAGAACCUGCUAUGGAUAGUAGCCAGAUUGUGAGCAGACUAGUUCAAAUUCGUGACUAUAUUGCUAAGGCCAGCUCCAUGCGGGAUGAUCUUGUAGAGAAAAAUGAAAGAUCUGCUAAUGUUGAGCGCUUGUCACAUCUCAUAAACCAUCUUAAAGAACAAGAAAAAUCCUAUCUGAAAUUUUUGCAAAAGAUGCUUGCUAGAGAAAAUGAGGAGGAUGAUGUUCGGACUAUAGAUUCAGCUGUGAGAUCUGGUUCUGUAGCUGAGAGCACAUCGCUAAACAUAGAUGUGCAGUCUGAGGCUUCAGAUACCACGGAAGUAUCUUUUAGUCUGAAAAUUCGGCCCUGCAUUGAGGACAAACUAGGGAAUUCAGCUUCACAAGGACAGGUUUCAGACAUUGACGUUACAACAAGUCCAAAAGGGAAAGGUGACAAAGCUGCUCUGAAUGGCAGGGAAAUCUGGCCAAUUAGGAUUGGAUUACCCUCACAGGCCAGAGACCCCCAGCAGGAGGCUAAAGAGGAGCUAGAGAAUUUGAAGAAGCAACAUGACUUGUUAACAAGGAUGUUACAACAACAGGAACAGCUGAAAGCACUUCAGGGAAGACAAGCUGCUCUUCUUGCCCUGCAGCAUAAAGCAGAGCAGGCAAUUGCUGUCAUGGAUGAUUCUGUUGUAACAGAGACCACAGGUAGCAUUUCAGGAGUGAGUCUUACAUCUGAACUAAAUGAAGAAUUAAAUGAACUAAUCCAGCGUUUUCACAAUCAGCUUCAUGAAUCUCAGACUCAACCUGUGCCAGAUAAUAGAAGACAAGCAGAAAGUCUUUCACUUACGAGAGAGAUUUCACAAAGUAGAAAUUCUUCUAUGUCACAGCACUUAUCUGAUGAGAAAGCACAACUUUUUAGCAAGAUGAGAAUGUUGCAGGGUAAAAAACAAAAAAUGGACAAGUUGUUAGGAGAACUUCAUACACUUCGUGACCAGCAUCUAAACAAUUCUUCCUUCUUGCCUGUGUCUGGCACUCCACAAAGGAGUAUUGAUCAAAGAAGUACAACUUCAGCUGCGUCUGCUCCUAUAGGCAUAGCAACUGUUGUCAAUGGAGAGUCUAGCAGCCUAGCAUCAUCUGCUCCUUAUCCUCCUGAUUCCAUUGCUUCUCAGAAUGAGAGUGAAGAGGAUGACAAUCUAAACCCAACAGAAAAGCUCCAGAAACUGAAUGAAGUUCGUAAGAGAUUGAAUGAGUUGCGUGAGUUAGUUCAUUACUAUGAACAGACAUCUGAUAUGAUGACUGAUGCCGUGAAUGAAAACACUAAAGAGGAGGACACAGGAGAAUCUGAAUGUGAUUCUGAGCAUGAGAAUUCACAACCUGUUACCAAUAUCAGAAACCCCCAGGGAAUUAGUAGCUGGGGUGAAAUAAAUAGCAAUUCCAACAUACAGUGUGGAACUACUAACAGAGAUGGAAGACACCUUAAUACAGACUGUGAAAUAAAUAACCGAUCUGCUGCUAAUUUAAGGACUUUAAAUAUGUCUUCAACAUUAGAUUGUCGUAAUAGGGACAAUGACAAAGAUAUUGAUAUAUCACAAGGUGGUGGUGAUGAAGUGGAAGAGGACAGAGCCAGUGAAGUUUCUUUAUCUAGCUGCAGAAGCAGUGUUGCUGAUGCUGGAGAUGCUGAGUUUGAGCAGAAGAUCAAUAGACUUAUAGCUGCAAAACAAAAACUUAAACAGUUACAAAAUCUUGUAGCUAUGGUACAGGAUGAUGAGACAGAUCCUGAAGCAACUACUGCUGAUACAUCUAAUGCGGGUGACUUCUUUUUGGCUGAAGUAGAGGAGGCAAAGCAGCAACCAAAUAACAUCAGAGCUAGCACCAACAAAUUGCAGCAAGAUGUGAGACUGAAAGAAAAAGCAAGAGAAAAAUUCUAUGAAGCUAAACUUCAGCAGCAGCAGCGGGAACUUAAACAACUUCAAGAAGAAAGAAGGAAACUGAUUGAGAUUCAAGAAAAAAUCCAAGCAUUACAGAAGGCUUGUCCUGACCUUCAAUUGUCAGCUAGCUUGGGGAAUUGCCCAGCAAAUAGACCAGCCUCACCUGUUACUUCAACACCAGCUGUUGAAAGUAGCACAGCAGGCAAUCCUGUUCUUGAACCUGAAGAAUCGGUAACAGUGGACAAUGAGCUAUGGUCUGAGAUGCGUAGGCAUGAGAUUUUAAGGGAAGAGUUACGACAGAGAAGAAAGCAGCUUGAAGCUUUAAUGGCUGAACACCAGAGGAGAAGAGAUCUGGCAGAAACCACAUCUACUGUUGCUGCAUCUGUUAAAAGUGAUGGAUCAGAGACCCAAUGUACUCCACAACAAAGUAGGAUGGAAAAAACAGUGGCAACGUGGGGAGGUUCUACCCAGUGUGUGCUAGAUGAAGAAGAUGGAGAUGGUUAUCUUUCUGAUGGACUUGUUCAGGCAGAAGAGGAGGAAGAAGAACAAGAGUCCAGUUCUAAUGACAAUUUCUCCAUGUAUCCCGAUAACAAUGAUCAAAGUACAUAUUGUGUUACAGAAAAUAAAGAUAGAUGGAAGAAUCGCCGUCCUCUUUCAGCAGAUGGGAAUUACCGUCCAUUGGCUAAGACAAGGCAACAACAGAAUAUUAGCAUGCGGCGGCAAGAAAACCUUAAGUGGAUGUCUGAGCUCUAUGUGGAGGAGAAGGAACAAUGGCAAGAGCAGAUUAACCAGUUAAAGAAACAGCUUGAAUUUAGUGUCCGUAUUUGUCAGACCCUGAUGCAAGAUCAGCAGACCCUCUCUUGUUUACUACAGACUCUGCUUACGGGCCCUUAUAGUGUGAUGCCCAGUAAUGUUGCAUCUCCACAAGUGCACCUUAUAAUGCACCAGUUAAACCAAUGCUAUACUCAGCUGACAUGGCAACAGAAUAAUGUUCAAAGGUUGAAGCAGAUGUUAAAUGAUCUUAUGUACCACCAAGAACAGCAGCAGCAGGAGAAGCCACAAAGAAAGGAAAGAGGCAGCAGUGCACCACCACCCCCAUCUCCUACAGUAUUUUGUCCUUUCAGUUUUCCUCCUCAACCUAUGAAUCUAUUUAACGUACCUGGAUUUACUAAUUUUUCUUCUUUUGCAUCAGGUAUGAACUUCAAUCCUAUGUUUCCUUCUGGUUUUGGAGAUUUUGCAAACAAUGUUACCCCACCCAACAGUGAGCAGCUGCAGCAGCAACCCCUAGAUCACGCUUCAGGAAAAACUGAAUACAUGGCAUUUCCAAAGCCCUUUGAAAGCAGUUCCUCUAUUGGAGCAGAGAAACAAAGGAGUCAGAGACAACCUGAAGAGGAAAUGGAAAACAGAGCAGUUUGGCUAGAUGACAGCCAAGAAGGACGAAAAGAAAAACAGUCAUUCCUGAAGGCAGGGUUUGCGGUUUCAGUACAAAAUAUGGCUUCUGGUAAUCACAAAAAUCAGUCUGAUACCAGCCGGAGGAGAAGAGAGUUUGAUGAGGAAUCUUUGGAGAGUUUUAGUAGUAUGCCUGAUCCAGUGGAUCCAACUACUGUGACUAAAACAUUUAAAUCUAGAAAAGCAUCAGCCCAGGCCAGCUUGGCAUCUAAAGAUAAAACACCUAAAUCGAAGAAUAAGAGGAGGAGUUCUUCUCAGCUAAAAAGCAGAGUUAAAAAUACUGGUUAUGAAAGUGCCAGCAUUUCUAGUACAUGGGAACCUUGCAAGAGUAAUAGGAGCAGGCGCUCUGUGCACAAUGAGGAGGCUGUUCAAGCAAAAGUGUUCAGCAAAAAGAAUCAAGAACAAUUGGAAAAAAUAAUUAAGUAUAGUAGAUCUACAGAAAUGUCCUCAGCACAUGCUAGGAGAAUACUGCAGCAGUCUAACAGAAAUGCAUGCAUUGAAGCCCCAGAAACUGGUAGCGAUCUUUCCAUGUUUGAAGCUUUGCGAGACACCAUUUAUUCUGAAGUAGCUACUCUGAUAUCUCAAAAUGAAUCUCGUCCACAUUUUCUUAUUGAACUUUUCCAUGAGCUUCAGCUGCUAAAUACAGACUACUUGAGGCAAAGAGCAUUGUAUGCGUUACAGGAUAUAGUGACUAGACACAUAUCUGAGAACAAUGAAAAAGGAGAAUGCACGAAGUCUCUGAAUUCAGCUACAUGGAUGGCUUCAAACUCUGAACUUACUCCUAGUGAAAGUCUUGCUACAACUGAUGAUGAAACUUUUGAGAAGAACUUUGACACAGGAGCAAGUAGAGAUUGUGAACAAAAUGAUGCGGACAAUGGCAGUACCAUGUCUACAUCUUCAAAUUUUGAACCUUUUGCCACUGAUGAUCUUGGCAACACCGUGAUUCACUUAGAUCAGGCAUUGGCUAGGAUGAGGGAAUAUGAGCGUAUGAAAACUGAAGCAGAAAGUACCCUGGACUCCGAAGUCUGCUGUAGUAAUCUCCAGAGUGUGUCUGCUGUUAAAUUAGAAGGUCAAUCUACUGGUGAGAGUCACUGUAUGCCACAGGCUAGUGAAGUUUCUUCUGUUCCAUGUCCUCGUAUAGAUACUCAGCAGCUUGACCGACAGAUUAAAGCAAUUAUGAAAGAGGUCAUCCCUUUUCUGAAGGAACACAUGGAUGAAGUAUGCUCUUCUCAGCUAUUGACAUCAGUAAGACGUAUGGUCCUGACUCUUACACAACAAAAUGAUGAAAGCAAAGAAUUUGUGAAAUUUUUUCAUAAGCAACUUGGUGGCAUACUGCAGGAUUCACUGGCAAAAUUUGCUGGUAGAAAACUAAAAGAUUGUGGAGAGGAUCUUCUUGUGGAGAUCUCUGAAGUUUUAUUUAAUGAACUAGCCUUCUUUAAACUCAUGAAAGACUUGGACAGCAACAGUAUUACUGUAAAACAAAGAUGCAAAAGUAAAAUGGAAGCAGCUGGAGUGAUACAACCUUACGAUAAAGAGGAAAAGAGAGUUCUUGAGGUAGGCGUUCGUUCAACCGCUGAAGAUAUUGAUGAAGACAAAGACAAGGAUGAGACUGAAACAGUUAAACCCACACAAGAAUCAGAAAUAUACAAUGAUGGUGAAGUUUCUCAAAAUAUGAGAUCUGAUGCUUCUGAUCAGGAGGAAGAUGAGGCGAGUGAAGGCUGUCCGGUGUCUAUAAGUUUGUCUAAAGCGGAAACACAAGCUCUAACUAAUUAUGGAAGUGGGGAAGAUGAGAAUGAAGAUGAAGAAAUAGAAGAGUUUGAAGAAGGACCUGUGGAUGUCCAGACUUCACUGCAAGCCAGCAAUGACACUACAGCUGAAAAUGAACAAGGACAGAUUUCAACAGAUGAAUCUGAAAAACCAAAUGAAUAUGAGAUUUUAUCAUCUAAGCAGAAAUCUAUUAGUUCUAAAGAUGAACAAGAUGUUCCUGCUAUUUUGCCUCAUCUCAAUAUGCUGGAGAAUAAGAAACUUCUAACAGUCAGUGCACCUGAGUCUGUUAAUGCUACCAAGGUGUCAACAACAGAAGAGCCAAGCCUUUCAUUACUAGUAAAUGAAAUUCAGAUAUCAGAAACAAUGUGCAUAGAAACCAAAUCCUUGACAAGAAGCGCAGAAAGCUCUAUGGCUGGAAGCCCUGAUACAGAGUCACCUGUGUUAGUGAAUGAAUAUGAAGCUGGGUUCGGAAACAUAAGUCAAAAGUCUGAUGAAGAUGACUUUGUGAGAGUUGAAGACUUGCCCCUUAAACUUACAAUAUAUUCAGAGGCAGAUCUAAUGAAGAAAAUGGUGGCGGAAGCCCAGACUAACACUUUGUCUGAUGCAAUACUGGAUGGUGGUGGAAUGCAAAGUGAAGAAUUAGCUGGAGAUUCUCAAACACUAAAAGAACCUGGUGAGAGAUUCUUUAAAUUCCUAACACCUUAAUCUCCUCUUGGGAGAGUUAAGCUUUAUUAGGGUCUAAACCCUUCAGGGUUAUUGCUGAGUAAAGCAAGAAAACUCAGUCUUCUGAUUGUCAAUGUUUUCAUUAUGACAUACUGGAAAAUGUGUAUUGACAAAUGUUCUGUUUGCUGCUGCUUCCAUUAAUUUUUACCAGUUUUAACCAAUAUUCUUGAUUGUGACUAAAGAAGCAAUCCUUUUCUAAUUGAAGUUAAUGGUAGGGAAGGAUCUGAUAGUGUAAGUUAUAAGUCAGUUACUCCUGGGGGAAUUCUGCAUAUUUUAUUUGUCAAAAUACUGCAAUAUAAUCACACUGGCUUCAAUUAUUUCGGUAAUUUAUUUAAACUACAAUACAAUGUUUGGAGAAUGGGAGUGAGGAGCAUUGGAGGAAAUCCCCAGAAACAUUGCCUAAUAAUAAUAUAGCUAGGUUUGACCCUUUAUUUC